GCAAAGGAAGAAGAAGAAGAAGAAAAAUACUGGAGUUGGCAUAUUAUUCAUGUCCACGAAUAUCAAAAUCAGAAUCUCUUAUUUCUGAUUUUUGUGAUUUCUCUUUUUCUUCUUCUUUCUCUCAUUGCUGCUUAUGGAAUCAUGGUCAGAAUUAGAUGGGUCGUCGGAAAAUUGUCGACUAAAAUAGGUCGUCUGAAGUUUGGGGUUGAGCAAUUUGAAGAGUC
This 224-nucleotide long non-coding RNA is filed under the name Nicotiana benthamiana. Its description in RNAcentral is "long non-coding RNA (NBEN_LNC034493)". The record is from RNAcentral. Lineage: Eukaryota; Viridiplantae; Streptophyta; Magnoliopsida; Solanales; Solanaceae.